ACAUCUGGAAAACACAGGCGGAGAGCACACAGCAGUCUCUCAGCUUGGAAGUGUUGUGUGCCAUCCCCACUCCCUGGGCAUCAGGGAAGGACCCGUGACCUAGGACCAAGCUUACCUCAAGGAAAACUGAGGGAUACAGUUGCUGGCUGGGUAACCAUCUUCAGAAUGCUUGUUAUGUGAGGUUUUUCUGUUAACAGGUCUGAAAUUGAGGCUGGCUUGUGGGUAAGCACAGUUGCUCUAGAUUUGAAAGCUGUUACACUCCGAGGGGACCGUUCCUUGGCACCUGUGUAUUGUGGAAGGUCACUUGAUUGUAGACAGCUGUUAUCUCUGGUCACACUAGUA
Non-coding RNA from Myodes glareolus (Bank vole), 342 nucleotides. Lineage: Eukaryota; Metazoa; Chordata; Mammalia; Rodentia; Cricetidae. The record is from RefSeq and is a predicted model, not a curated record.